Molecule: unclassified non-coding RNA, 271 nt
Filed under: Hevea brasiliensis (rubber tree)
Lineage: Eukaryota; Viridiplantae; Streptophyta; Magnoliopsida; Malpighiales; Euphorbiaceae
Source: RNAcentral
GGAAAACAUAAUGAUAUGUACUCCGGCGAGAAAUGCUUUGCGGGGAUGGAGAAGGCGCUGAACUUUGCUGAUGAUCAGGUGCUGAGGGCGUAUGGGUUCCGGCAUGCGGGGCUGAUGAAUACGUCCGCGGUCCAGCCGCUGCCGUUCGACUUCCCCGGCGGCGAUGCUUGAUGGCGGCGAGUUUUUUUGUUUAUUCACUUUAGUAGCUCAGUUUAGGUGUGUUUUAAGUUUCCCCCUGUUUUCAGAGAAGUUGCAAUCCAGAUAUUGUGUG